CACCCGAGACCUUUCCGCUCCCCUCCCACGCCAGGGAAAAUGCCUCUUUGGCUCCAUUUCGUGUUCGUUGCAGCAGCUUUGGGAGGUGUCCGGUCACAAGUCCAGCUGCUGGAGUCCGGCGGGGAUGUGAAAAAGCCCGGAGACUCCCUCAGACUGACCUGUACCACCUCGGGGUUCAACAUAGACAGCUACUGGAUGAGCUGGGUCCGCCAGGCUCCCGGGCAGGGGCUGCAGUGGGUAUCAGCAAUUAAUGGAGCAACAACCCAUUACGGAGAUUCCGUGAAAGGGCGAUUCACCACCUCUACAGACAGCUCCAAGAAGCUGAUCUACCUGCAACUGACCGGCCUGAAGCCCGAGGACACCGCCCGCUAUUACUGUGCGAGAGACACAGUGAGGCGAAGCCGGGCUGAGCUCAGACACAAACCUCCCGUUGCGGUCAGCAGGGGAAGUCCCAGCUGGUUUGUGACACUGACAGUCCGGGCGCUGGGCUCUCGCGGUUCCCUUCCUUGA
Molecule: non-coding RNA, 510 nt
Organism: Mauremys mutica (yellowpond turtle)
Lineage: Eukaryota; Metazoa; Chordata; Testudines; Geoemydidae
Source: the annotation of a RefSeq genome assembly